This 441-nucleotide ribosomal RNA is filed under the name uncultured bacterium. RNAcentral's name for it is "partial 16S ribosomal RNA". It matches the Rfam family "Bacterial small subunit ribosomal RNA", at positions 338 to 795 of the family's 1533-position model. The record is from RNAcentral.
CCUACGGGAGGCAGCAGUGGGGAAUAUUGCACAAUGGGGGAAACCCUGAUGCAGCGACGCCGCGUGGGUGAAGAAGUAUUUCGGUAUGUAAAGCCCUAUCAGCAGGGAAGAAAAAUGACGGUAGCUGACUAAGAAGCACCGGCUAAAUACGUUCCAGCAGCCGCGGUAAUACGUAUGGUGCAAGCGUUAUCCGGAUUUACUGGGUGUAAAGGGAGCGCAGGCGGCACGCUAAGCCUGAUGUGAAAACCCGGGGCCCAACCGCGGGAGUGCAUUGGGAACUGGCGGGCUGGAGUACCGGAGGGGCAGGCGGAAUUCCUAGUGUAGCGGUGAAAUGCGUAGAUAUUAGGAGGAACACCAGUGGCGAAGGCGGCCUGCUGGACGGAGACUGACGCUGAGGCUCGAAAGCGUGGGGAGCAAACAGGAUUAGAUACCCCAGUAGUC